UACGGAGGGUGCAAGCAUUAAUCGGAUUUACUGGGCGUAAAGGGCGCGUAGGCGGAAGAGAAAGUUGGAUGUGAAAUCCCGGGGCUCAACCCCGGAACGGCAUCUGAUACUGCUUUUCUAGAGGCUAAAAGGAGAAAAUGGAAUUCCACAUGUAGCGGUGAAAUGCGUAGAUAUGUGGAGGAACACCGGUGGCGAAGGCGAUUUUCUAGUUUAGACCUGACGCUGAGGCGCGAAAGCUAGGGGAGCAAACAGG
Molecule: ribosomal RNA, 253 nt
Filed under: uncultured bacterium
Lineage: Bacteria
Description: partial 16S ribosomal RNA
Rfam family: Bacterial small subunit ribosomal RNA
Source: RNAcentral